UCUCCGUUGGUGAACCAGCGGAGGGAUCAUUACCGAGUGCAAACUCAUAACCCUUUGUGAACCUAUAUCUGUUGCUUCGGCGGCUCGCUCUCGGGCGAGCCCGCCGGUAAUAUCAGUAUCUCUGUUUGAACCCGACGAUACUUCUGAGUGUUCUUAGCGAACAGUUAAAACUUUUAACAACGGAUCUCUUGGCUCUAGCAUCGGUGAAGAACGCAGC
RNAcentral lists this unclassified non-coding RNA (217 nucleotides) under plant metagenome. RNAcentral describes it as "partial contains small subunit ribosomal RNA, internal transcribed spacer 1, and 5.8S ribosomal RNA". The stretch from base 169 to 217 matches the Rfam family "5.8S ribosomal RNA", at positions 1 to 49 of the family's 154-position model. The record is from RNAcentral.